GGAAUAUUGGACAAUGGGCGCAAGCCUGCUCCAGCAAUGCCGCGUGAGUGAUGAAGGCCCUAGGGUUGUAAAGCUCUUUUACCCGAGAUGAUAAUGACAGUAUCGGGAGAAUCAGCCACGGCUAACUCCGUGCCAGCAGCCGCGGUAAUACGGAGGGGCCUAGCGUUGUUCGGAAUUAAUGGGCGUAAAGCGCACGUAGGCGGCGAUUUAAGUCAGAGGUGAAAGCCCGGGGCUCAACCCCGGAACUGCCUUUGAGACUGGAUUGCUAGAAUCACGGAGAGGUGGGUGGAAUUCCGAGUGUAGAGGUGAAAUUCGUAGAUAUUCGGAAGAACACCAGUGGCGAAGGCGGCCCACUGGACGUGUAUUGACGCUGAGGUGCGAAAGCGUGGGGAGCAAAC
Molecule: ribosomal RNA, 398 nt
Filed under: uncultured bacterium
Lineage: Bacteria
Description: bacterial SSU rRNA
Rfam family: Bacterial small subunit ribosomal RNA
Source: RNAcentral